This 767-nucleotide ribosomal RNA is filed under the name uncultured Granulicatella sp. Its description in RNAcentral is "bacterial SSU rRNA". It matches the Rfam family "Bacterial small subunit ribosomal RNA", at positions 28 to 776 of the family's 1533-position model. Lineage: Bacteria; Bacillati; Bacillota; Bacilli; Lactobacillales; Carnobacteriaceae. The record is from RNAcentral.
GACGAACGCUGGCGGCGUGCCUAAUACAUGCAAGUCGAACGAGAGCGACCGGUGCUUGCACUGGUCAAUCUAGUGGCGAACGGGUGAGUAACACGUGGGUAACCUGCCCAUCAGAGGGGGAUAACAUUCGGAAACGGAUGCUAAAACCGCAUAGGUCUUCGAACUGCAUGGUUUGAAGAGGAAAAGAGGCGCAAGCUUCUGCUGAUGGUUGGACCCGCGGUGCAUUAGCUAGUUGGUGAGGUAACGGCUCACCAAGGCCGUGAUGCAUAGCCGACCUGAGAGGGUGAUCGGCCACAUUGGGACUGAGACACGGCCCAAACUCCUACGGGAGGCAGCAGUAGGGAAUCUUCCGCAAUGGACGCAAGUCUGACGGAGCAACGCCGCGUGAGUGAAGAAGGUUUUCGGAUCGUAAAACUCUGUUGUUAGAGAAGAACAAGUGCUAGAGUAACUGUUAGCGCCUUGACGGUAUCUAACCAGAAAGCCACGGCUAACUACGUGCCAGCAGCCGCGGUAAUACGUAGGUGGCAAGCGUUGUCCGGAUUUAUUGGGCGUAAAGCGAGCGCAGGCGGUUCCUUAAGUCUGAUGUGAAAGCCCCCGGCUCAACCGGGGAGGGUCAUUGGAAACUGGGGAACUUGAGUGCAGAAGAGGAGAGUGGAAUUCCAUGUGUAGCGGUGAAAUGCGUAGAUAUAUGGAGGAACACCAGUGGCGAGGGCGACUCUCUGGUCUGUAACUGACGCUGAGGCCCGAAAGCGUGGGUAGCAAACAGG